CCCAAAUUUGAAAGGCCCAACUAUCACCCAUUUAUCCAAAUACUGAUUGAACCUCGUAAACACUAAACAGAUGUGCGAUUGAAAGAAUGAAAGGGUAGCAAAUUAAACAGGCUACAGGCGUGCGAUGGAAACCUCGUAAUCUGCUGUGUCGAUUGAGUAACCCGAGGAUGGAAUCAUUCGCAAUUUAAGGUCGUAGGGCGGACGUUAGGGAUUUCAGAUUCGGGGGUAAUCUCACAUCUCAAUCUCAAUUGACAAACAGCGAGUGUGGGCGUCGGAUUGCUGAACCAUCCAACCAGGGAGACGUGGGACUGAAAUCUAUGGAAUCAUGUCGAGAGGGACUCAAGCAUGAAUGGCUAACGGGUCAAGAAGUGGCGAGGAAACGGAUAUGAACACAGAUGCAUGAGGUAAGUGAUUUCCGCAAUCACUUCUUAGUUGUUUACGUAGAGUUAUGUGCUAGUUAAUUAAGUAUGAUAAGUGAGACAAAUAAUGGAUGGGUUGCAUGAAACCAAUGAUUUUCGCUAAGUAGAUGUAACGGGUCAAAAAUGAGGUCUUGAUGUUAUAAUGGAAUGGAGAAUAAGAAAUGUUUAUAGUAUGAUAACCGGGUAACGGGUAUGAUUGCGCAUAAGUACGCUAAUGGGUAAGCAGAAGCACGGAUAAUGUAAAAGUAUUAUAGUUAUAACGUUUAUGUAAGUUUUGGGUUAAAACGAAUGAGCAGUUUAACAAAAACAUGAAUGGGUCGAAUAAGUGAAAGCGGGUAUAUAAAGCCGAGAGCUUAAGUGAAUAUUUUCCUUAAACCAGAUGUUGGAUUUCAAGUUCAUAUGAUAGAAUGUGAAUUUACAAGCAGGUAGGAAGAAACGGGAGGUUAAACGAGUAAACGGUUCAAAAGUUAUGCGUGUUUUAGUGCAUACGGAGGACGAAACAUAGCUGCAGCAAGAAACACCUCUUAACUUAAGAGGAGUGCAAAAGAAACACAUCUUAACUUAAGAGGAGUGCAGCAAGAAACACCUCUUAACUUAAGAUGAGUGCAAAAGAAACACAUCUUAACUUAAGAGGAGUGCAGCAAGAAACACCUCUUAACUUAAGAGGAGUGCAAAAGAAACACCUCUUAACUUAAGAGGAGUGCAAAAGAAACACCUCUUAACUUAAGAGGAGUGCAAAAGAAACACAUCUUAACUUAAGAGGAGUGUAAAAGAAACACAUCUUAACAUAAGAGGAGUUCAACAGAACACCUUUUAACUUAUGCGCCUCCCAAACAUGAUUUUGAUCGUCCCUUUGACGUUUAUGGGCUAUAAAUCUAAGUCUAAGUGCCAUGUAACCAAUGUAUGGGUAUAUAAGAGGUAUGUAAGAUCUUGAACGUGUAUGUGGUAAUGUAUGUGUGUAAGUAGAUGUGUAUUUGUGUAUAUGUGAAGACAUGUAUGUGUAUAUGUAUGUAUGUGGAGAUGUAGUAAUGAAUGAGCAUAUGUAGAUGUGUAUUAGGAAUACAUGAAGGUACGUAUGAGUGUAUGCAUGUAUGUAGAGAUAUAGGAAGGAAUGUAUGUAUGUAGAUGUGUAUUAGGAAUACAUGAAGGUACGUAUGAGUGUAUGCAUGUAUGUAGAGAUAUAGGAAGGUAUGUAUGUAUGUAGAUGUGUAAGUAUACAUGUAAGAAUGUAUAUAUGUAUGUAAGAAUUUAUGAGUAAUACGAUAUUAAUAGUGUGCUUUGAGAAUGAAAAGUAAUGCAGGUACAUAACUGGAGCCUCACCAGGAUAUGGAUACGCAGAUGAAAUGCUUAAAGAUUAUGAAAGACAACGAAACGGAAAGUUGUACCAGAAUGAAUCUUGCUUAUAUAUACUGUGUACUAAUGUUAUGAAUGUAUGUGGUGAGUGCAGGUGGUACAGAAUUAGGGAUCAACAUGAUGGAAGGCUAGUGAUUGAAGAUCGAGUGAUAGAGACAUAGAUUGUACAGAAUGGGUGGUCAUGUAAUUUGUAUUAGUAUGUUAUUAUCGAUACGUUAGUGAAAAAUAAACAAUGUAGUUUCUUACGUAAAGAUGUUUUUAAAUGAUUCUCAAAUAUAAAGGAAUGUUUAAGAAAGAAAUU
RNAcentral lists this long non-coding RNA (2073 nucleotides) under Helianthus annuus (common sunflower). Its description in RNAcentral is "hypothetical non coding rna". Lineage: Eukaryota; Viridiplantae; Streptophyta; Magnoliopsida; Asterales; Asteraceae. The record is from RNAcentral.